CCUACGGGAGGCAGCAGUGAGGAAUAUUGGUCAAUGGACGAGAGUCUGAACCAGCCAAGUAGCGUGAAGGAUGACUGCCCUAUGGGUUGUAAACUUCUUUUAUAUGGGAAUAAAAUGUUCCACGUGUGGGAUUUUGUAUGUACCAUAUGAAUAAGGAUCGGCUAACUCCGUGCCAGCAGCCGCGGUAAUACGGAAGAUCCGAGCGUUAUCCGGAUUUAUUGGGUUAAAAGGGAGCGUAGGUGGAUUGUUAAGUCAGUUGUGAAAGUUUGCGGCUCAACCGUAAAAUUGCAGUUGAAACUGGCAGUCUUGAGUACAGUAGAGGUGGGCGGAAUUCGGGGUGUAGCGGUGAAAUGCUUAGAUAUCACGAAGAACUCCGAUUGCGAAGGCAGUUCACUGGACUGCAACUGACACUGAGGCUCGAAAGUGUGGGUAUCAAACAGGAUUAGAUACCCCAGUAGUC
Molecule: ribosomal RNA, 460 nt
Filed under: uncultured bacterium
Lineage: Bacteria
Description: partial 16S ribosomal RNA
Rfam family: Bacterial small subunit ribosomal RNA
Source: RNAcentral